Non-coding RNA from Mycena crocata, 93 nucleotides. The record is from the annotation of a GenBank genome assembly. NCBI's taxonomy places the organism in Eukaryota, Fungi, Basidiomycota, Agaricomycetes, Agaricales, Mycenaceae.
UCGGACGUGGGGUAUGGUGCCCAUCUGCUUUAAAUGAGGCAGAGGUAUGAAAACAUUCAGCAGGAACCUCGGGUUCGAUUCCCGGCGUCUGAA